RNAcentral lists this transfer RNA (72 nucleotides) under Camelus bactrianus (Bactrian camel). It matches the Rfam family "tRNA". Rfam says of the family: Transfer RNA (tRNA) molecules are approximately 80 nucleotides in length. Their secondary structure includes four short double-helical elements and three loops (D, anti-codon, and T loops). Lineage: Eukaryota; Metazoa; Chordata; Mammalia; Artiodactyla; Camelidae. RNAcentral also lists the same sequence under 2 other names. The record is from Rfam by way of RNAcentral.
GGGAGUAUAGCUCAGUGGUAGAGCACAUGCAUAGCGUGCACAAGGUCCUAGGUUCAAGUCCCAGUACCUCCA